RNAcentral lists this ribosomal RNA (253 nucleotides) under uncultured bacterium. RNAcentral's name for it is "partial 16S ribosomal RNA". It matches the Rfam family "Bacterial small subunit ribosomal RNA", at positions 524 to 776 of the family's 1533-position model. The record is from RNAcentral.
UACAGAGGGGGCAAGCGUUGUUCGGAAUUACUGGGCGUAAAGGGCGCGUAGGCGGCCUGCUAAGUCGAACGUGAAAUCCCCGAGCUCAACUCGGGAACUGCGUCCGAUACUGGCAGGCUUGAAUCCGGGAGAGGGAUGCGGAACUCCAGGUGUAGCGGUGAAAUGCGUAGAUAUCUGGAGGAACACCGGUGGCGAAGGCGGCAUCCUGGACCGGCAUUGACGCUGAGGCGCGAAAGCCAGGGGAGCAAACGGG